UGGUUCCGCCAUUUAUAAAAGCGCUUCCUGCAGCAGUUAUGUAUAGAUUGGUAUAAAUAUAAAUGUAUGAAGUAUACGUUUACAAAGUUGUCUGUAAACAAAGUGUAAUAAUAUUUACCGUGUAUUGGAGUGUAUAUAACGACGGAAAUAAAGAAUAAUAAGAAAAAUCAUCAUAGAGAACAUACAGAAUUAACAUUUAAGUUUGGAACGUUAGUUCAAAUGCCUGAUUACUCAGCCAAGGGAUGCAGAAACAAGUCAAAGAGUGGCCAUAGUUGUACACACAGGUCUGUUAACUGCUGUAAAGGAGAUAAGGUUCUUAAUGUCGCAAGAUGUACUUUACCAAUCGGCCACCAUUGAACACUGCGAUCGAGUAGCUAGGGUUUUGUGUUUGGCGCCAUUCUUCGGUGAAAGCACUAAAGACGUAGCAGUAUAUGCACCACUGCGAACAGGCAGUACAUUGACAGAGAUUAUAGAAGUAGCAUUGGCAACUACUACUUAUGAACCAAAUAACAGGCAAACAAAAAUAAUUCCGCAAGACUUUCUUGACAAAAUCAGAGGAAAAAAGAUUCACUUUCUGCGUACGAGAAUUCCAACUAUUUCCUAUGGAAAGCCACGAACAAAAUAAAGGAGCCAAUUAAACUAAUCCCAGCAAUCAGAUUAACGGACAACACAUGAGCCAGAAGCAACGAAGAGCAAGCUGAAGAAUUUUCCAACCACCUUUGUUGAAGUUAUCUCUUCGAGGAACGCGUGAUGAAUGUGUAACAGAAAUAUAUUUAAGUAUAAGUGUAACUCGUUACAUUACAACAGAGCUUCGAAGCCAUGAGUCUAUGGGUAUUUAUAUAAUUACGAAAACUGGCCGGUCUAUAUAUACCCUGCUGCACCAUCUGUGCAUGGCAUAUUCCUAAAAAAGGCUAUGAGACUGAGAGGCCCUUCAAAUUGAUUUAGAGCUAAACAAUACUCAAUAGCAUCGGGGACUAAGAGAACUAAACGCUAGAGAAGAUGUAGUUUUCCUAGAAACCUAAUUUUUGUCGUAAAUAUUGAAAUCUUGGUUUCGGUAACGCCUUCGUAAAUAUAUCUGCUUGUUACGUCCGGCGACUCUCUACACAAAGCAGACUCCACGCCACAACCAUACCGUCGACCGAUGGGUCCGCGGUAGAAAACGGUAACAAGGAAGAAUGGCCGCAGGAAAUCCCUGACUCCUAAAGCCGCGAGCAAGGUGGUUGGAGCGGAGGAAGCGGCGAUUGAAGCCAUGAACUUAGGUGAUUAAGAUUAAGGGUACGCACCCUCCAGAACAAUCUGGGACAGUCAAGACCUGCUUUUCCAAACCAUUCUGGAGAGCACGGUUGCCCUAGCGGUGGUGGCCGAGCCAUACAGAGUCCUGGACGCUCCGGACUGCGCCGGAGAUACAGACGGCUGUCACCUGGACAUCAGCGCCGGCAUCGUCCGCCCACAGGGAUCCUCUGGAGCGCGGCAACGGAUACGCAGCGGUCGAAUGGUCAGGAAUGGUGGUAGUGGCCGUGUAUGUGUCGCCCAACAGCGAAUGGACAGCGUUCGAGGAGUUCUUGAACGGGGUAGACGACUGCCAUUACGAUUACGAGAUAUAGUAUUACGUUAUAAUACAUUACAUUAUAACGUAUUCCGUUAAAUUGAAUUACGUUAUAUCAUAUUACGUUUUGCCGUUCCUUCACAUACUGAGCAGAAGGCGAACGUUACCAUGAUCGCGGACGGAUAUUAAGACAGGCGGAGUGGGGAUAUGGUAAGAAUAGAAAGGGAGGCAAGUGGAUCAACACAGCAGUUGCCCGUAACCAGUCGUCAGUAGGAAUCGCAACCAGAGAUUUCUGAAGAAGUCGCUGGUCAAGAAAGCAAACGAACUGCGGAACGAAGCGCCGCGUAUUAAGUUGGCAGCCUUCACGUAAUAGAGUACAUUCAGUAAUAUAGUAUUACGUUAUAUAUGUCGGAGAUGAAAGAACACCGGAGUCUGUAAUUGAACAAUUGUAGUUAUUCAAUCCGAUUGUAAUUGUUCGAGAGUUGUGAUAAUGAGCUUGGGCUCGAGGCGACAGUCAGUCGCCGAACGUAGCCGCGGUCACGGGAUGAACGCUUUGUCUAACAAAGGUAUGGAGUAAUUCUAUAGCUCUCCUUAAAAGAAAUAUUCGUGGCGACACGCGACAGUAAACAUUCCAACGGUUUCUGUCCCGUGGCUCGCCACACGCAGACCCUAUUCUUCGAGUAAGAUGAUUACCAGAUGUCGAUGCGUCUCCGCAGUACAUGUUCGGCUAGCCUGAGGACCCGUUAUAAAUCCUAAGAUUUAAUUAACUAAAGUCCUUCAAACAAACAAACAGUCAUUGUCCCAACUACGGGAAAAUAGGGGAGACCUAUUUUUCGACGAGCGGCGUCUCCCACUAGCAACUUUCCAUCGAGGGCGGCUAGCAUCUUUUUCUAACCACCGAUAUGGAGAUUGACCAAUUAGCAGCAACGCCAAUUUGUCUUACUUUCUGAACGAAGGCUUUCCUCGACGAAUCCGAUGAUCUCGUGUCCUUAGACACACCCCAUUAUAGUUUUCCUCUGUGGCAUCAUCGGGACGGGAAAGGCAUUCUCGCUCGCGAUCUCAGUGAUGAAAGGAGUAACUCUUUACAACCAGUGAAUAUUACGCAUCCGACUUAGAUUUCGGAUACCUAGGCAUGUUGGGUCCCAAAGGUGCUAGUGGUAUCAUUGCACUGUUCACGCCCAGUAGUGCCAAGUGCCAACUCCUCCUCCAAGUCGGUGGGGCUGGUAAAUACUGACUUGUCAGUGGCUACGUGGAUGGCGACGUGGCUUAAGAACUCAUCCUGCCCGAGGAAGAGAACAUGCAUCAUGGCGUAAACAAUCACACGUCGCAGACCCGAUCGGGUGUCGUGGCGGGUUAAGCCUUUCGUUACUGGCGGCUUCUCCUGCGUCACAAGCGCUCUGCGCCAAAAAGAAAAAACUUUCCUCGAAACAGGGUAUUUAUAACUUCUUAACACACUCACUUUUAAUUGAAAUUUGGGUAGGCCUACUUUGGGGGGGGGGGGACAAUCGUCUCCCCUAACGCCACAUUUAGUUAGUUAGUUCAUAGGAUAGGCCUAACGAGAAGACGCGGGGAGUGUACCGGCAGUAAUUUCCAAGAGGUCUCGGGCACUGCUGCCAAACGUGUAGGUUGGCCACCGUGGAGUUUUUGUCAGUAGGAGUCUGGCACUACUCCACUAAUUCUCCAGAAUGCAGCGGAGUGUCCAUGAGGAUUUCUCCACGUAGAAGAAAAAAAGAAAGAAGGUGUUGAAGCAUAUAAAUAGGUGAUAUAUCGUAUUUCAAUUCUUUGAAUUUUGUUUGAAUUAUUGUUAAUUACAAUCACAAUUUCUGAUAAUAUCAUGCACACGAUUAAGUGUAACCACGCUCUUAAUCGUCAUCGUUGUCAAUUACAAUUAUAAUUCCAAGUUUACUUACAUUCAUUUUAACGAAACCAAUGUUUAUUGCUAGAACACGCGCAUAUUCGUACAACGAUGUUAAAAAUCUGAGCGUAAUGGAAAUGUACGUACAGCAGAUACUCACAGGAAAAACCAACGAGACUAAUAAUAAAAUCAAUGAAUUAGAAAAAAAGAGCUAUAGACAAAUAUCUUAUAAUAUACCGUGGCAUAAUCUGCAAUUUAUUAUAAAAUAAUUGAUCCCAGCAGUAUCAAUUAUAAAAGAAGAUGGCUGAAUAUGAUAGACACUGUCGAAUACUAAUCAAAUAUAAUCAUUUAGUUAAUCUUUAAGAUUUAAGUUAAGAUACAUCUUUGAGGAAUCAAUAAGUCUUUCGCUAAUAGCCUAAUAGAUCCCUUGAUAGAUCAAACGAAGAAAUACCUAACCGCGAUUACAGCCAAUUGGUACAUAUUAUUCGAUACAUAAUUAAUAUCUGUAUCGCGUACAGCGAUGCAAGUGGUAUUGAAGAAAAUAGCCAUUUUAUGUUACAACUAUAACGAGUAAAUUUACUCGUUUAACUUGAGAGGAAUUAAAAAGGUACCUGACUUUUAAAUAAGCAUUAAAUAAGAAAUUUAAAUAUCGCAGACGGUGAUGUAGGUGUUAUUCAAGAAAAGAGAACAUUUUAUUUUGUAAUUAGCACGAGUAAAUGAACGAAUAUCGAUAAUAUAAUAUAAUGAUUAAUAUGAA
Molecule: long non-coding RNA, 4158 nt
Organism: Bombus huntii
Lineage: Eukaryota; Metazoa; Arthropoda; Insecta; Hymenoptera; Apidae
Exons: 9
Source: RefSeq, a predicted model, not a curated record